RNAcentral lists this unclassified non-coding RNA (1055 nucleotides) under Hevea brasiliensis (rubber tree). The record is from RNAcentral. Lineage: Eukaryota; Viridiplantae; Streptophyta; Magnoliopsida; Malpighiales; Euphorbiaceae.
AUCUAUCUCUGAAACUGGGGAGUUUGAAUCUUCUUCAGAUUCAAGUAAAUCAAAGAGUGCUAUGGUUGCAAAAGGAAAAGGCACUCUUCAGAGCACUGGAAGGGGAUCAGUUCUCUAUGGCGGAGCUCAGGUUAUGGGUGCACCUGGAAGCAUGGGUGGUGGUGAUCAGAACUUCCCUACAACACCAGCCUUUUUGCCAGUCAUGCAAUUUGGCGGCCAGCACCGUGGUGGCAUUCCUGCUGUUGGCAUGGCUUUUCCUGGAUAUGUUGGUCAGCCACAACUUGGUUUAGGGAAUUCUGAGAUGACAUGGUUGCCAGUUUUAGCUGGAGCUGCUGGAGCAUUAGGUGCAACAUACUGUUCGCCAUAUAUUGCUAUGGAUGGUGCCUAUCAUGCUCGUCCAUCUGGGCAAAUAUCUUCUCUCACUGCUGCUCCAAGCAAAGAGAACAGUGCCAGUAAGCCAAAUAAUGAAAGCAAUCCCCAACAGCGACUAGAGCUCUCAAAUGAUGACUUAGGCCAGCGCCAGAAGAAUCCUCGCAGAUAUACGGAGAUGAAGUUCGAUCAGUGAGCUUGUUUGUAGGUUGGAGCUGUUUGAAUAAGCAGAUUAAGGCCCUCUCCUAGACCCUAUGUUCUCCAAGUGUUGCUCUGGAGUAUCUAGGGUUCUCAUGUGUUGUGAUGUAUUUUAGGUUUACAUGACAAACGCCUGCUCAUGCUGCUUCACUUUCGGGGAUACACUGCAGCUUGACGGGUGGCAGUUAUUUGUUUAAAUAUAUGGUUCUUGUGGCUUGGGGUUUUUGUAACUGAAGGAAGUAAAAGAUGUUGAUAGAGUUUCUUCAAAUGGUGAUGGAAAAUAAUGGUAACAGUCCGGAAGCAGUUGCAUCUGUUUUCUUAUUAUGUGAAGUUUUUUGUCUUCUGAGUAGAUGGCUCUAGUGUCUUUUAAAGUUUUUCUGUUGAGCCACUACUGUUUGGUCGAUAUUUUCUGGGCUUUGUAGUUAAAUAUUAUGUUAACAAGAGAGCGUGUCUUGCUCAGACAUUGAAUAAUAAAUUUUUGUUUUAAA